Molecule: ribosomal RNA, 253 nt
Filed under: uncultured bacterium
Lineage: Bacteria
Description: partial 16S ribosomal RNA
Rfam family: Bacterial small subunit ribosomal RNA
Source: RNAcentral
UACGGGGGGGGCAAGCGUUGUUCGGAAUUACUGGGCGUAAAGGGCGUGUAGGCGGCCAACUAAGUCCGACGUGAAAUCCCUCGGCUCAACCGGGGAACUGCGUCCGAUACUGGCGGGCUUGAAUUCGGGAGAGGGAUGUGGAAUUCCAGGUGUAGCGGUGAAAUGCGUAGAUAUCUGGAGGAACACCGGUGGCGAAGGCGGCAUCCUGGACCGGCACUGACGCUGAGGAGCGAAAGCCAGGGGAGCAAACGGG